GUUUGGCUGGAUUGGUGGCUCUCAAAGUAUAUUCUGAGAACUGCUCCAAGAAGCCGGUCUCCUCAAAUUGGACAAUGGGGCCUGAGGACGGGCGGCACUCCUUCCCUUUGGAGACACCUGUGUUGGGAUGGGCAGCUGCCUGGUGAUAAGGGGUUGCGACAAAGGGCAUAAUGAGCAGUACUGGGCACUGGAUGUCCUUCUGGAGCUGCUGGACUCACCUGUUCCUUAUUGGAACACCAUGACCUGACCUACAUGGACAGCUGCAAGAACAAAGGAUUCCAACAUCAAGAAUUUCACAACAACCAACCACACCCCCUCCCCUUUGUAGUAUAAAAGGGGCCUGAAUUCUGACUUGGGAAGAUGGUUCUCUAGGACACUAGUCUGCCAUUUUCUUGGUCUGCCAGCUUUCCAAAUAAAGUUGUUAU
Molecule: long non-coding RNA, 425 nt
Organism: Camelus dromedarius (Arabian camel)
Lineage: Eukaryota; Metazoa; Chordata; Mammalia; Artiodactyla; Camelidae
Exons: 3
Source: RefSeq, a predicted model, not a curated record